Molecule: long non-coding RNA, 673 nt
Filed under: Homo sapiens (human)
Lineage: Eukaryota; Metazoa; Chordata; Mammalia; Primates; Hominidae
Description: long non-coding RNA NONHSAT206639.1
Source: RNAcentral
CAAAGGCCCCACCUCCUAAACCGUCACCUUGGUGUUGGUUUCAACACACGAAUUUUAGGGGGACACAGGAUUCAGCCCAUAGUAUUUGGGCAGGAGAUGACAUCACUGUGGGUUGGGGUGACAUGGGACAGAGAGAAGGAGACGGUCACAGGAGGUGAGCUGUGCAUGAGUUCAAGAGGUCAGGAGGUCAGAAGAUUGGAACAAGAGGUGACCAUGGGACUGUCACUCCCACGGAGUUUGCAGAAAUCUUGGGUAGGAAGGAAGAAAAUGAUUUUGACGUGUGAAAUGCAGAGUCAAAUAGAUUUCCCAGAAGAAUUUCAACUGUGGAAUGAAGGGCCUGUGGGAGUUAUGAUGAAGCGUCAAGCCUGGAGGGGAGAGAAGAGGGGAGGAAUGGUGUCAAAGAGUGAUUGAUAACAGAAGUGUCCAGAUGUUUUUAUUAUUUACAUUUUACUCCCAGUGCUGUAUGUGUAAAUACUAGCAAGGUUAGUAACAGGAGUUACAAAAGAUGCUUAACCUCUAUCAGGUUAUGUGACUCAUCCAUGGCUACCCCGGCCUGGACUCCCCUCCGAGACUGGGGCCUGCAUACCCUACUGCCCACUUCACAUUUCCUCUGAGAUACACAGAGCAGCUCAAUUUCCACACUUCAAAACCACACUUGGGGUUUCCCAUGGAA